RNAcentral lists this ribosomal RNA (272 nucleotides) under uncultured prokaryote. RNAcentral describes it as "partial 16S ribosomal RNA". It matches the Rfam family "Bacterial small subunit ribosomal RNA", at positions 524 to 796 of the family's 1533-position model. The record is from RNAcentral.
UACGGAGGGGGCUAGCGUUGUUCGGAAUUACUGGGCGUAAAGCGCGCGUAGGCGGCUUUGCAAGUCAGAGGUGAAAGCCCGGGGCUCAACCCCGGAAUUGCCUUUGAGACUGCAUCGCUAGAAUUGUGGAGAGGUAAGUGGAAUUCCGAGUGUAGAGGUGAAAUUCGUAGAUAUUCGGAAGAACACCAGUGGCGAAGGCGACUUACUGGACGACUGUUGACGCUGAGGUGCGAAAGCGUGGGGAGCAAACAGGAUUAGAUACCUUGUAGUCC